Molecule: unclassified non-coding RNA, 801 nt
Filed under: Trichogramma pretiosum
Lineage: Eukaryota; Metazoa; Arthropoda; Insecta; Hymenoptera; Trichogrammatidae
Description: uncharacterized protein C14orf119 homolog, transcript variant X3
Source: RNAcentral
UGGACGGCACGCGGAAUAAUUGUGACAGGUCGUGUUGUGGUUUUUAGGUUUUAUGACUUUGGUUUGCUUCUUUCAUGAAUUAUUCAGUAUAUUCACUAAGGUCGAUAAAGAAGAUCAAGUGAACCUGCUUUAAAAAUUCAAAAAGACCUGCGGCGCUCAAAUCGUCCGUUCGCCGUUAAAAUACUAGGAAAUUGUUGACAACACAAAAAAGCGAAAUCGCCGGCCCACGUUGUCCUUCACGUGUGUCAAACGGCGGCUUUUGAGACACAUUACGUUCCGAGGAAGCGUGCGAGAAGCAUCGUUUGAAGACAACCACGAGCAUCAUUGUGUGAAAAAAGUUUACAAAAAUGGUUAAAAAAGCAGAGAUGAACGUGGAAAUUAAUAGCAAAUCUGAGAACGUUUACAAAAAUUCGUAUCAAGUAAACGAUUUAUCUUCGCUUAUCAGCAACUUGAAAUCUUUACAAAAAGAUGUCAACGACGUUUUGACGAAAAUUGUCAACGAAACUGGCUCAAACAAUCAAGUUUCGAACGAGAUGGAAGACGAUGAAGACGACGAAGAUGACGAUGAAUCGGAUGGCGGCGACAGCGACGAUGGCAAUCCAAAGCCAAAAAUUAGCAAAUUAGAGCACAAGUUAACGCACGACUCCAUUAGUUAAGUCACUCCUGCACAAGGCAACGGAGCUUGGAUUUUCAUAUACACUAUAAAUUCAUGCUAAAAUGUCGACGUCGCUGUCGAAUCAGGCCCAGAUUCGCUACGUUAUCGAAUGGUUUCAAGAGUGGUCCGAAAUGCAGAGGGAUGAC